UACGUAGGUGGCAAGCGUUGUCCGGAUUUACUGGGCGUAAAGAGCGCGCAGGCGGUCGUUCAAGUCGCGUGUGAAAGCCCCCGGCUCAACUGGGGAGGGUCACGCGAUACUGAUCGACUCGAAGGCAGGAGAGGGUAGUGGAAUUCCCGGUGUAGUGGUGAAAUGCGUAGAUAUCGGGAGGAACACCAGUGGCGAAGGCGGGUUGCUGGGCUGACACUGACGCUGAAGCGCGAAAGCUAGGGGAGCGAACAGG
Molecule: ribosomal RNA, 253 nt
Filed under: uncultured bacterium
Lineage: Bacteria
Description: partial 16S ribosomal RNA
Rfam family: Bacterial small subunit ribosomal RNA
Source: RNAcentral